This 492-nucleotide ribosomal RNA is filed under the name uncultured bacterium. Its description in RNAcentral is "partial 16S ribosomal RNA". It matches the Rfam family "Bacterial small subunit ribosomal RNA", at positions 29 to 506 of the family's 1533-position model. The record is from RNAcentral.
AGUGAACGCUGGCGGUAGGCCUAACACAUGCAAGUCGAACGGCAGCACAGUAAGAGCUUGCUCUUACGGGUGGCGAGUGGCGGACGGGUGAGGAAUACAUCGGAAUCUACUUUUUCGUGGGGGAUAACGUAGGGAAACUUACGCUAAUACCGCAUACGACCUACGGGUGAAAGCAGGGGAUCUUCGGACCUUGCGCGAUUGAAUGAGCCGAUGUCGGAUUAGCUAGUUGGCGGGGUAAAGGCCCACCAAGGCGACGAUCCGUAGCUGGUCUGAGAGGAUGAAUCGGCCAACUUGGACUGGGAAACCGGCCCAACUCCCACGGGGGGGAGCCGGGGGGGAUAUUUGGCAAUGGGCGGAAGCCCUAUCCCGGCCAUCCCGGUGGGGUGAAGAAGGCCUCCGGUUGGUAAAGCCUUUUUUUUGGGAAAAAAAAGCAGCAGGUUAAUACCCCGCUGUUCUACCGUUACCAAAAAAAUAGGCACCGCCUACCUUCUU